GGUCAAGUGAAGAAGCGCAUACGGUGGAUGCCUUGGCAGUCAGAGGCGAUGAAAGACGUGGUAGCCUGCGAAAAGCUUCGGGGAGUCGGCAAACAGACUGUGAUCCGGAGAUGUCUGAAUGGGGGAACCCAGCUGUCAUAAGACAGUUACCUUACACUGAAUACAUAGGUGUAUGGAGCGAACCAGGGGAACUGAAACAUCUAAGUACCCUGAGGAAAAGAAAUCAACCGAGAUUCCCUUAGUAGUGGCGAGCGAACGGGGACCAGCCCUUAAGUUGGAUUGAGAGUAGCGGAACGCUCUGGAAAGUGCGGCCAUAGUGGGUGAUAGCCCUGUACGCGAAAGUCUCUUUGCAAUGAAAUCGAGUAGGACGGGGCACGAGAAACCUUGUCUGAAUAUGGGGGGACCAUCCUCCAAGGCUAAAUACUACUGACUGACCGAUAGUGAACCAGUACCGUGAGGGAAAGGCGAAAAGAACCGCGGAGAGCGGAGUGAAAUAGAUCCUGAAACCGUAUGCGUACAAGCAGUGGGAGCCCACUUUGUUGGGUGACUGCGUACCUUUUGUAUAAUGGGUCAGCGACUUAUUUUCAGUGGCAAGCUUAACCGAAUAGGGGAGGCGUAGCGAAAGCGAGUCUUAAUAGGGCGUCUAGUCGCUGGGAAUAGACCCGAAACCGGGCGAUCUAUCCAUGGGCAGGUUGAAGGUUAGGUAACACUGACUGGAGGACCGAACCGACUACCGUUGAAAAGUUAGCGGAUGACCUGUGGAUCGGAGUGAAAGGCUAAUCAAGCUCGGAGAUAGCUGGUUCUCCUCGAAAGCUAUUUAGGUAGCGCCUCAUGUAUCACUGUAGGGGGUAGAGCACUGUUUCGGCUAGGGGGUCAUCCCGACUUACCAAACCGAUGCAAACUCCGAAUACCUACAAGUGCCGAGCAUGGGAGACACACGGCGGGUGCUAACGUCCGUCGUGAAAAGGGAAACAACCCAGACCGUCAGCUAAGGUCCCAAAGUCAUGGUUAAGUGGGAAACGAUGUGGGAAGGCUUAGACAGCUAGGAGGUUGGCUUAGAAGCAGCCACCCUUUAAAGAAAGCGUAAUAGCUCACUAGUCGAGUCGGCCUGCGCGGAAGAUGUAACGGGGCUCAAACCAUGCACCGAAGCUACGGGUAUCACCUUUGGUGAUGCGGUAGAGGAGCGUUCUGUAAGCCUGUGAAGGUGAGUUGAGAAGCUUGCUGGAGGUAUCAGAAGUGCGAAUGCUGACAUGAGUAACGACAAUGGGUGUGAAAAACACCCACGCCGAAAGACCAAGGUUUCCUGCGCAACGUUAAUCGACGCAGGGUUAGUCGGUCCCUAAGGCGAGGCUGAAAAGCGUAGUCGAUGGAAAACAGGUUAAUAUUCCUGUACUUCUGGUUAUUGCGAUGGAGGGACGGAGAAGGCUAGGCCAGCCUGGCGUUGGUUGUCCAGGUUUAAGGUGGUAGGCUGAGAUCUUAGGUAAAUCCGGG
RNAcentral lists this ribosomal RNA (1491 nucleotides) under Pseudomonas syringae. RNAcentral describes it as "partial 23S ribosomal RNA". It matches the Rfam family "Bacterial large subunit ribosomal RNA", at positions 1 to 1546 of the family's 2925-position model. Lineage: Bacteria; Pseudomonadati; Pseudomonadota; Gammaproteobacteria; Pseudomonadales; Pseudomonadaceae. The record is from RNAcentral.